Molecule: ribosomal RNA, 451 nt
Filed under: uncultured bacterium
Lineage: Bacteria
Description: partial 16S ribosomal RNA
Rfam family: Bacterial small subunit ribosomal RNA
Source: RNAcentral
AACGAACGCUGGCGGCAUGCCUAACACAUGCAAGUCGAACGAUUGCCUUCGGGUGAUAGUGGCGCACGGGUGCGUAACGCGUGGGAAUCUGCCCUUGGGUUCGGAAUAACAGCUGGAAACGGCUGCUAAUACCGGAUGAUAUCGCGAGAUCAAAGAUUUAUCGCCUGAGGAUGAGCCCGCGUUGGAUUAGGUAGUUGGUGGGGUAAAGGCCUACCAAGCCGACGAUCCAUAGCUGGUCUGAGAGGAUGAUCAGCCACACUGGGACUGAGACACGGCCCAGACUCCUACGGGAGGCAGCAGUGGGGAAUAUUGGACAAUGGGCGCAAGCCUGAUCCAGCAAUGCCGCGUGAGUGAUGAAGGCCCCAGGGUUGUAAAGCUCUUUUACCCGGGAAGAUAAUGACUGUACCGGGAGAAUAAGCCCCGGCUAACUCCGUGCCAGCCGCCGCGGUAA